AGAUUGAACGCUAGCGGCAUGCCUAACACAUGCAAGUCGAACGGUAACAGGCCCUUCGGGGUGCUGACGAGUGGCGGACGGGUGAGUAAUGCGUAGGAAUCUACCCACGAGUGGGGGAUAGGCCCGGAGAAAUCCGGAUUAAAUACCGCAUAUGCCCUACGGGGUAAAGCGGGGAUCGUAAGACCUCGCGGCUAGGUGGAUGAGCCUACGGUCCGAUUAGUUAGUUGGUGGGGUAAAGGCCCACCAAGGCUACGAUCGGUAGCUGGUCUGAGNGGACGACCAGCCACACUGGGACUGAGCACGGCCCAGACUCCUACGGAGGCAGCGAUCNCUAUA
This 336-nucleotide ribosomal RNA is filed under the name uncultured prokaryote. RNAcentral's name for it is "bacterial SSU rRNA". It matches the Rfam family "Bacterial small subunit ribosomal RNA", at positions 26 to 362 of the family's 1533-position model. The record is from RNAcentral.